Molecule: long non-coding RNA, 359 nt
Organism: Lampris incognitus (smalleye Pacific opah)
Lineage: Eukaryota; Metazoa; Chordata; Actinopteri; Lampriformes; Lampridae
Exons: 3
Source: RefSeq, a predicted model, not a curated record
GUGACAGGCAACAUCAAUGGCGUAAACGCAGAGAAGAGUGAAGAGCACUUUGAAAGUUGUCUCCAGUCUCUGGAAGAGGAGAUGAUCUUUAAUGCUGGUCACCUCCUGUCUGUGGAAGAGGCUCCGUUACAAGUAAGGGAUGAAGACGAGCCACAAAGGAAACAUACCCUGAAAAAGGAGCCGGGUCGAAGGUUUCGCCAUGCGAUCUCAAUGCUCUACAUGCAGGAGUCAGGUGAGCAGCUAUUUCACCCAGGUAGUGACACCAGCAGCACAGUAGAGCUACACGACAAACCGGAAGAGCUUGGCUUCUGGGAAGAGAUAAAGGGUGACAACUGUAAAUAUUACCGGAACGUCGUCAC